AUUGAACGCUGGCGGCGUGCCUAACACAUGCAAGUCGAGCGGUAACGGGUGUAGCAAUACAUGCUGACGAGCGGCGAACGGGUGAGUAAUGCUUCGGAAUCUACCCAAUGGUGGGGAAUAACCAGCCGAAAGGUUGGCUAAUACCGCAUACGUCCCACGGGAGAAAGCAGGGGAUCGCAAGACCUUGCGCCAAUGGAUGAGCCGAAGUCGGAUUAGCUAGUUGGAGGGUAACGGCCUACCAAGGCGACGAUCCGUAGCUGGUCUGAGAGGACGACCAGCCACACUGGGACUGAGACACGGCCCAGACUCCUACGGGAGGCAGCAGUGGGGAAUAUUGGACAAUGGGGGAAACCCUGAUCCAGCGACGCCGCGUGUGUGAAGAAGGCCUGCGGGUUGUAAAGC
RNAcentral lists this ribosomal RNA (402 nucleotides) under uncultured bacterium. RNAcentral's name for it is "bacterial SSU rRNA". It matches the Rfam family "Bacterial small subunit ribosomal RNA", at positions 29 to 431 of the family's 1533-position model. The record is from RNAcentral.